AAAUCCCUAAUUUCACUUUUGUCCCAAAUCAAACCCUAAUUUGCUAAAUAUUUCCUAAAAUCCUAACCCUAACUUUCCCAUUCCCUUUCAGCCGCCACACACCCUUCACCCUUCCAAAAUCAAACAGAAAAAAAAAAAACCAACACUUUGCAGCAGCAAAAAUUAACUGAGAGGAAGAAAAGAGAGGAGAGGGUGCGAAUCAGGAGAGGGGAAGGGGGGAGAGUGCGCCGGCGAGUCACCGCCGCUCGUCGCGCUGCCGUCGUCGCUGAUGAGGGAGGAACGAGGAGAGUGUGUUGCGGAGCAGGAGGAGCUACCCACAUACGCCACCGUGGUGCACCACCGCCACGUCGCCGACGAAGGGGAAAGAGCGAACCGCGCCGUCCGUGAAGCUUGGCUCGCCGUCGUCCGUGCGCGUCGCUGUCGAGGGUACAUCCACGCCAUCGCCGGAGCUUGAACGCCGCUGCAACCACCGCGAGUUAUCAUCUUCAGAUCCGCCGCCGUUUGAGUCGCGAAUAGGGGAAAGGCGCGAAGGAAACCAUCGCGGAGCUGCCGUCGCCGCCGCGUUGCUGGGCUCGCCGUCGUUCUGCCCGCGUGGUUGCUGCGUUGCCGGAGCUCCUCGCCGCCGUUGCUGGCGCCGGAAACCGCCUUUCAAGCCAGUGUCUGUUGGUUAUACGGUCACCGUGAGUCUCUCUGUCGCCGUCUAAGCUGCCAUCAGAAGGAUCCACCACAGCCUCCUCUGUUCUUGUCUUCGGAUCAGUACUACCCUUUUCCAGUUUCAAUCCCUAUUCUGCUAUUUCUGAAUAUGUAACUCCUCAGUCCUUACUCCGCUUCCAUUUUGUUUCUUAGUCUUUUUCUAUUCUGAAUAAGAAAAACCUAUAUUUCUGUUUAACACUGCUGCUCUGCCUUCCCUGUUUGCUGAUGGAAUCAUCAUAGGUAACAGUAUUAACGAUACUAACGAGCUAUUAGAGUUGCUGCCGCUGCUGAAAUUAACAAAAAGAGAAGGGAGUUACCGUGUUUAACCUAUGUGAAUUCAGCUAGUCGAGGAACCGGAUGAAGAAGCA
Molecule: non-coding RNA, 1061 nt
Organism: Arachis ipaensis
Lineage: Eukaryota; Viridiplantae; Streptophyta; Magnoliopsida; Fabales; Fabaceae
Source: RefSeq, a predicted model, not a curated record